GCCGGUGUAGCUCAGUUGGUAGAGCAACGCAUUCGUAAUGCGUGGGCCAGGGGUUCGAUCCCUCUCACCGGCACCA
RNAcentral lists this transfer RNA (76 nucleotides) under Gammaproteobacteria bacterium. RNAcentral describes it as "tRNA-Thr". It matches the Rfam family "tRNA". From Rfam's summary of the family: Transfer RNA (tRNA) molecules are approximately 80 nucleotides in length. Lineage: Bacteria; Pseudomonadati; Pseudomonadota; Gammaproteobacteria. The record is from RNAcentral.